AAGUCGUAACAAGGUUUCCGUAGGUGAACCUGCGGAAGGAUCAUUAACACUCCAAAACAAACUCAUUACUCUUGGCAACAAGGGUAUAUGAAACCCUAUUCACAAGCGAACCCGAAGGGAAACGUGGGAAGGCGAGACUUUCCGGUUUCAAGCUCUCACUCUUUCUCCUUCAACAUUUUCUUUUGUCCCUUUUUUUUUCUUUUAAGCCCCACACAUUUUACUUUUAGACUGACUGAGACGCAAGUCUCGUUGUACUUCGAAAGAAGCGCAAUGAAAAUCGAUAAGAUUAACAAAAAAACAACUCUUAGCAACGGAUAUCUUGGUUCUC
RNAcentral lists this unclassified non-coding RNA (328 nucleotides) under fungal sp. RNAcentral's name for it is "partial internal transcribed spacer region". The stretch from base 1 to 46 matches the Rfam family "Eukaryotic small subunit ribosomal RNA", at positions 1786 to 1831 of the family's 1831-position model. Lineage: Eukaryota; Fungi. The record is from RNAcentral.